CCUACGGGAGGCAGCAGUGGGGAAUUUUGGACAAUGGGCGCAAGCCUGAUCCAGCAAUGCCGCGUGAGUGAAGAAGGCCUUCGGGUUGUAAAGCUCUUUUGUCAGGGAAGAAACGGCCGAGGCUAAUACCUUUGGCUAAUGACGGUACCUGAAGAAUAAGCACCGGCUAACUACGUGCCAGCAGCCGCGGUAAUACGUAGGGUGCAAGCGUUAAUCGGAAUUACUGGGCGUAAAGCGUGCGCAGGCGGUUUUGUAAGUCUGACGUGAAAUCCCCGGGCUCAACCUGGGAAUUGCGUUGGAGACUGCAGGGCUGGAGUCUGGCAGAGGGGGGUAGAAUUCCACGUGUAGCAGUGAAAUGCGUAGAGAUGUGGAGGAACACCGAUGGCGAAGGCAGCCCCCUGGGUCAAGACUGACGCUCAUGCACGAAAGCGUGGGGAGCAAACAGGAUUAGAUACCCUGGUAGUCCACGCCCUAAACGAUGUCUACUAGUUGUCGGGUCUUAAUUGACUUGGUAACGNAGCUACGCGUGAGUAGACGCCGUGGGAGGUACGGUCGCGAGAUAAACGUACGAAGAAGUAGAGNGNGAGAGNGCGACGACGACGACGAGGGAGGAGG
RNAcentral lists this ribosomal RNA (615 nucleotides) under uncultured bacterium. RNAcentral's name for it is "bacterial SSU rRNA". The stretch from base 1 to 539 matches the Rfam family "Bacterial small subunit ribosomal RNA", at positions 338 to 873 of the family's 1533-position model. The record is from RNAcentral.